UUUACUUGGCUAUGUUAAGUUUUCCCAACUCAACUCUGUAAAGUAAAAAUUACAUCAAACGGAAAGCACUUCAUUAAUAGGGUGGUUUGUCCAUUUCAGGACACCGUAUUUCCUCUUUAAUCUCGCUUGUUCACAGUCACAUGAUUAGCCCGCUUGUCAAUGCAAAUGGAGAUACACGGCUCUGCAAAAUCCGCUGUCAUCCUUUGAGUAAAGAUAUGAAUGUGGUCUUGUAAAAACUGUGGGAUGACUGCAUCGACAAGAAUCCAUCUACUAAACACUACAGAUAAGUGCUGAGUUCACUUGCAUUACCACCAUCCCACUUAUCAGUUUAUGGCGCAGCUGGGCCACUACUGACAGAUUCUCAGCAAGAAAGGAGAAGCAGUAGGACACAAAAUCAAAAACUUUAUGGCUGUUAUUUGACAAGAACGACUACAUUGCAACAAGAAGAUCUUGUAGCCUCCAAGCACUACCUUUGUAUCUCAACGAAGACCCUGAAAAGCUAGUGAAAGAGUACGGAAGUGAGAACCCUGAUGAAACCCAGGCAGAUUUGGAUCAGAUGGUCAUCGGCACCUAUGUGAUUAAACACCCAGGUGAAGAUGUUGAUCAGUCCCCAGAAGAUGUUGGCAUCAUAGUUGAAGGUGUGCAGGUGCUCAAUGAACUCAAAGAUGUCACCACUUCUUGUGCCUUACUGUUUGGGAUCAUCUACGACCUGAACCUGAGCAUUCUGACCUCAGGUACACUUUUAAAUUCAUCCAAAAGAUCCUGAUGGAACUUGAUACACACAGACUUUUAAACAAAAUCCAGGUACUCAAAAAUAAACUGCUGGAAUAAUGCAUGAAACCAUUAUGGGGGCUGUUCAGUGUGCUGAAAAGAUUUUGUUAUCCUGUUAACUUGAGCAGUAGUUUGGGUUGUCUGUUAACCUUUUUUUAUUUCUUACGUUACUGUUUCACCUUGAAGGUUACAAGUUUCAAAUUGAAAUCUAAGGUAGUAGUAUCAACCUACUGACCUGAGACCAUACGACUCUGUUAAGAGUUUACGUUGGGCAGCAGACAAAACAUUGUUUUGAGGUUUAUUCUUUUUUUUUGUUUUUUUUUUUUUUCUCAUGUGUCAGAUUGUUGUUACAGCACUUUCAGUUGUAUUAAGAUACCUCAUUGUAGCCACUUAGCUGUAAUGGGUAAAAAAAAUUCUCCUACAAAGACGCUUUACCAUAGUGUGGAUGUUCUGCUGCUAUUUGAACUAGUUGAAGCUUGUGUGGAGCUAAGAGCUCUGAAAAGGUUAUUGAAAGUUUAAAAAAUACU
Molecule: long non-coding RNA, 1298 nt
Organism: Archocentrus centrarchus (flier cichlid)
Lineage: Eukaryota; Metazoa; Chordata; Actinopteri; Cichliformes; Cichlidae
Exons: 5
Source: RefSeq, a predicted model, not a curated record